ACUCUGUAUCAAAAAACAAAAACAAAAAAACUUGACUGAGCAUACAGGUUGUGUGUGUGUGUGUGUGUGUGUGUGUGUGUGUGUGUGUGUGUGUGCAUAGCAGUAAUAGGCAUACUGGGAAAAUGGAUAAAUAUGGAGAGUUUUCGUCUUUCAAAUUGCUCAGAGUCUAGUGCAGAAAGUUUUAGAGUGAUAAAAACAAAUGCUGGGACCCACUUUCAGGGCAGAGUAGGAAAAGCAUUAAAAAAGUUUUGUCAAGUCCAGCGGAAGGAAUUGUAGCAUAUAUUCCUCCUGGAAAAUCUGAGAGAGCUUCUUAAUUAGAAUUGGUGUUUAAGCUUGAGCUUGGUGGAUUGGUAGGAUUUGAGAUGGAGAGGAGAGAAGAGUGAGGUGGUGGAAAGAUGGGAAAGGCCCAGAGCUGGCAGAAUGCAGGGUGUAUUCUGGACUAGAACCUUGGCCUAAAAAGAUUCUACAUGGAAUGGAAAAAAAAUACGAUAAAGCAGACUAGGAUCAGGUUGUGGAGGGCUUUAAAUAGGCUGGCCCUUCUGCAUAUAAUGGGAAACUGCCAAAGAUUCUGAACAGGAGGUGCCUGGAUCUAAUCUAGUGGUUGCAUAAUGGCAGAGAAGUGCAGAUUUGGCAGUCAGAUAGAGGUGGUUGGAAUCAUGGAAUCUGUCCUCUUCGUAUUAUAAACUAAGUGAAGGCAGAAUCAUGUCUCUUGUGUUUAUAUUGCCUCGCAUGUGCUGAAAAAUCAUGUGACAAAUGGAUGAUUUAAUAGAGAGAGAUGAUGAAGGCCUGAACUGCAGUGACAUUGGGAGGAGACCAUACUGGAGGGAUAUCCAAGCGAUGUUUUCAGUCUCCAAAAUACUGUAUGGGCGACCAGGAAGAAGGUGGUACUAGUAAUUAAAAUGAGUGUAGACAACUCUCUAGUGAUAGAAAUAAUGUGACAGUCACAUACAGAGUUAGUCCAGGAGGCAUUUGGAAAUGGGGAAUGGGAACUGGAGGUCAAAAGAGGAGGCUAGGACUGGGAAUAUAGAUUUGGAAUUUGUGUCUUUUGAGCUUAGUGAUGGAGAAAAUAAUAGGUAAUAUCCUCCAGGAAGACUGUGUUUGAGAGAGGAUCCAAGUUAUAAAACUUCAGGGAAAACGAACGUGGGAGAUAGAAGAUUAAGAGGCAGCAAAAAGCCAAGAGAAGUAGCCAGAAACCAGAGAGAACCACGAGGCUGUUCUGUGAAGAAAGCUGAGGAGGUGGUGGAAAGCAUUGAGUGCUGUGGAGAGGAUGGGGGAGUGAGAAGCAGCACUGGUCAUGUGUGGGUUGCUGAUUACUUCCUUAGAUUUAUUUCAGUUUUCUAGUUGUGGAAACCAGAUGAUAGUGAGUUGAGGUGUGAUCUGAGGCUACGGAUGUGGAGAAAAUAGUGUGGGCUAUUUUGAGAAAUUGUGGCAAAAGCAGGGCAAGAUGGGGAAGUUAUCUUGUUUUAUGGGGUAGGAGGUUAGAGGAAUAAGAAAAGCCACUCCAAGUUACUUAAUCACAGAUACAGAGGUAUGCAGAUCUGGAACUAGAUAGGUAUUAACAUCUGGUCCUUCAGUGUUUGAGAGAUUUAGAAACCUAGUUUGCAGGCUAGUACAUGCCUUUCUUAUCGGGGAGAAUGGUGCAGUGCAGCUUCUCAAGACUAUCUGCAUUGGAGGGCCAGGUUAAAAGAUUGUUAGUCUCCAGUGCUGUGGACUGAUACUUUGCUAAUGUUAUAAAAAAUUAAUUAUUUGGAAAAUAAUUCUCCUGUAUAUUAUGGCAGUGUCAAAUUACAAGUUUCUGAACACUUGCUUUCAGUUUCUUAUCUCAUUUGUGGAUGUUAUCAGGCUGCAGGUCUUGGUUUGGGCAGCACUAGUAUAGUGGGGAAGGGAGCAAGUGUUUUUCACAGGUGGCUCUCAUGACUUCCAUAUAGGUUAGUGAUUCCAGGUUAGGACCACUGAGUAACACAUUCCAACACUAGAAAAAGAGGGACUAUACUUAUACCAACUCCAGGUGUUGUAAAGGAGUCAGUAGACUUGAAUAAGAUGUUUUCACCCUUUUACUUACAUUGAGGUAAAGAAAAAUUGUUUAAACAUGUAGCUGCUUAAAAUAUGAGAACUAUUACCCAUCAGUUCUAAAGACUAGGAGUAUUUAGAGCAGUAUGAGAAAAUGUUAAUGAAUGCUAUCUUAUGUUAAGACAUUAUGAAUAUUAUAAAUGUUAAGUGAAGACA
This is a long non-coding RNA of Sapajus apella (tufted capuchin), 2226 nucleotides long. RefSeq lists it as uncharacterized. NCBI's taxonomy places the organism in Eukaryota, Metazoa, Chordata, Mammalia, Primates, Cebidae. The record is from RefSeq and is a predicted model, not a curated record. The transcript is spliced from 2 exons.